This 472-nucleotide long non-coding RNA is filed under the name Cricetulus griseus (Chinese hamster). Its description in RNAcentral is "lncRNA (ENSCGRG00015041277.1)". The record is from RNAcentral. Lineage: Eukaryota; Metazoa; Chordata; Mammalia; Rodentia; Cricetidae.
CGGAAGGGCUGGCUGGGCGCUCCACAGUUCCUCCGGGUGCAUGCCUGGGAAGCUGUGCCUGCCUGUGGCUGGGUCUUUGUCUGCAGAUAGACGUGGGGAUGCCUCUGUGAUGAGAAAACUGUGGCUCCAAUUCUGCCCGUGAGAGGGCCUCUGCUCAGUCUCAGGAGGAACCAAGAAAGGCCUGCCAAUACCGUGUUGGAGAUUGAGGUUUGGCAACCCCAGGAGCCGCCCCCGUGGGUGGGCCCUGCCAUGAGCUGGGAUCCCAAUGUCAGGGUCCCUGAGGGGCUCACUGGAUACCCCAGGCUCUCGGACAAAAGGGGAGCGAGGAACCUGCGACUUCCAGGAAUGUCACAGGAUACACCCCAAAGUCGGCCAGGAGUUCGCAGAGGCUGGAUUGACCAGAUUUUUCCAGUGCUCACCCGCCCCCUGGUGGUCAUCAUGAGCAUUCCAGGCCUUAGCAAUCUUGAGAAAG